GACCAGACUCCUACGGGAGGCAGCAGUGAGGAAUAUUGGUCAAUGGGCUUACGCCUGAACCAGCCAAGUCGCGUGAGGGAAGACUGCCCUAUGGGUUGUAAACCUCUUUUGUCAGGGAGCAAUUGGCGCUACGUGUAGCGUUAUCGAGAGUACCUGAAGAAAAAGCAUCGGCUAACUCCGUGCCAGCAGCCGCGGUAAUACGGAGGAUGCGAGCGUUAUCCGGAUUUAUUGGGUUUAAAGGGUGCGUAGGCGGGCUUUUAAGUCAGCGGUAAAAAUUCGGGGCUCAACCCCGUCCGGCCGUUGAAACUGGGGAUCUUGAGUGGGCGAGAAGUAUGCGGAAUGCGUGGUGUAGCGGUGAAAUGCAUAGAUAUCACGCAGAACUCCGAUUGCGAAGGCAGCAUACCGGCGCCCGACUGACGCUGAGGCACGAAAGCGUGGGGAUCGAACAGGAUUAGAUACCCUCGUAGUA
This 469-nucleotide ribosomal RNA is filed under the name uncultured bacterium. Its description in RNAcentral is "partial 16S ribosomal RNA". It matches the Rfam family "Bacterial small subunit ribosomal RNA", at positions 329 to 795 of the family's 1533-position model. The record is from RNAcentral.